GAGAGGAGAUUUCUAAAACCAAAGCUUUUUUUUUUUUGUGGACCGAUUUCCUGAUCUACUGACAUGUAAAUGAGGGGGUUCUGUGGAGAGCAGAAUAUUGGAAUCUAGAUUACAGUUCUUAACCAAAGGAAUCCAUGGCUCUAUUAAGGAAAAUUAAUCAGAUCUUAUUAUUCCUACUUGUUUUGACCAUCUGUCUCAUUCUGUAUAAUAAAGUUCACAAGGCGCCAUCUACG
This 233-nucleotide long non-coding RNA is filed under the name Pelusios castaneus (West African mud turtle). Its description in RNAcentral is "lncRNA (ENSPCEG00000007649.1)". Lineage: Eukaryota; Metazoa; Chordata; Testudines; Pelomedusidae. The record is from RNAcentral.